CAAUAGCGUAUAUUAAAGUUGUUGCGGUUAAAACGCUCGUAGUUUGAAAUCUGUUAAGGACGAUCUGUCUGCCCUCUGGGUGUGUAUUUGGUCUAGCCUUGGCAUUUCCUUGAACAAGACAACUGCACUUGAUUGUGUGGUGUUGAUUUCAAGGUGUUUACUUUGAGGAAAUCAGAGUGCUUCCAGCAGGUGUGCGCCUUGAAUACAUUAGCAUGGAAUAUCAUUAUAUGGUUUGGAUUUUUACUUGUUGGUUUUUAAAAAUUGAAGCAAUGAUAAAUAGGGAUAAUUGGGGGCACUUGUAUUUAAUUGUCAGAGGUGAAAUUCUUGGAUUUGUGAAAGACAAACUACUGCGAAAGCAUUUGCCAAAAAUGUUUNCAUUG
This 380-nucleotide ribosomal RNA is filed under the name uncultured eukaryote. RNAcentral describes it as "partial 18S ribosomal RNA". It matches the Rfam family "Eukaryotic small subunit ribosomal RNA", at positions 592 to 975 of the family's 1831-position model. The record is from RNAcentral.